UACGUAGGUGGCAAGCGUUAUCCGGAUUUAUUGGGUGUAAAGGGCGUGUAGGCGGGAGCGCAAGUCAGAUGUGAAAACUCAGGGCUCAACCCUGAGCCUGCAUUUGAAACUGUGUUUCUUGAGUGCUGGAGAGGCAAUCGGAAUUCCGUGUGUAGCGGUGAAAUGCGUAGAUAUACGGAGGAACACCAGUGGCGAAGGCGGAUUGCUGGACAGUAACUGACGCUGAGGCGCGAAAGCAUGGGGAGCAAACAGG
Molecule: ribosomal RNA, 253 nt
Filed under: uncultured bacterium
Lineage: Bacteria
Description: partial 16S ribosomal RNA
Rfam family: Bacterial small subunit ribosomal RNA
Source: RNAcentral